UGUCUAUGAAGUGAUCCUCUGAAGCUGAGGCCAACAUCUUGCCAUCAUGGCUGAAACUCGGUGUCCUCACAGGCCAGUCAAACCUGGAGAAACAGCAGACACACACUAGCUCCUCUGUGUUCCAGAGGCUGACCAGGGCGUAGGCACUUCCUGUAGUGAAGUAAGAGCCAGUGGGAUCGAACUUGAUGCCGAUACAGUUGGAUGGAUGGGCGCUGAUGGGCUGAAUGGGCUUCAGCUCUGGGUAACUGAGAAUAUUGAUAUGAAGACAGGUCUGUUUGACUUGAUGUGGACCUGAGUUCACCAGUGGUACCCAGACAGAACCAACAGCAGCCAACAGGUUAUAG
Long non-coding RNA from Lampris incognitus (smalleye Pacific opah), 344 nucleotides. RefSeq lists it as uncharacterized. Lineage: Eukaryota; Metazoa; Chordata; Actinopteri; Lampriformes; Lampridae. The transcript is spliced from 3 exons. The record is from RefSeq and is a predicted model, not a curated record.